This 582-nucleotide long non-coding RNA is filed under the name Fukomys damarensis (Damara mole-rat). RNAcentral describes it as "lncRNA (ENSFDAG00000023242.1)". Lineage: Eukaryota; Metazoa; Chordata; Mammalia; Rodentia; Bathyergidae. The record is from RNAcentral.
GCAUGUAGGUGCUUUAUCCACAUUACUGACCCUUGGAAGCUACCGAGUAGGUAAGUGGAGAAAUGAAUGGUGUUGCAUUCAGCAAUCGAGUAGCAUUCAGUGCUAGAAGGGGAUGCCCAAGCCAUGAAAAGAUAAAUGUGUAUUACUAAGCGAAAGAGCCAAUCUGAAAACUCUAAGUAUAGGAAAAAAGAUGGCCAUCGGUUGCCAGGGACUAGGCGUAAGGGAAGGGAAAAAAAUGAAUGUGCAGAACACAGGCGAGAGAAGUUCUGAGUCAACUGUUCUGUGACAUCGCAAUGGCUCAUGGAUCCCUACUCAUUUGUCAAAAGUGACAGGUGCCAGUGUGAGGUGACAAUGGUGUCUCAACGCUGGGUCACCGACGGUGACAGAUGUGCUGCUGGGUCCAGGAUGUGGACACCGGGGAAGAGUGGAGUAGAGGGUCGGUGGAAACUCCACUUUCCACUCAGCUUUGUUUUAAGGCUAAAGCUGUUCUUUAAAGAAGUUCACACUUGUGAACAGUUUGCCUGUCUGCAGCCUGGACAAGGCCAGGCUCACCUCACACAGCGGAGCCUGCAGGGGAGCUGA